AUUCAGGCCUGAGUUUGACUCUUUAAGAGUCUGCUCUUAUUGGUUUGAAUCUGAGUGAGAGGUUAGGGGAGUGCCAGUCUAUGCCAUGACUGUAUAUGACCACCUCCUGCUGAGGUUUCUCUCUCACUUUACACCUACUCCUAGCUCUUAAGUUCUACCCCCAUAUGGUAAGCCAUGCUUAGGGACCCUGGAGGUCCUUCUGAACUUGGAUCCCUAAGGGCUAAUAAUUCCACAUAUUGCACUACUCUCAAACUCUAGAGUGUAAGCAUUGUCUGGGCGCUUGAAGACCC
This 290-nucleotide long non-coding RNA is filed under the name Nicotiana benthamiana. RNAcentral describes it as "long non-coding RNA (NBEN_LNC006097)". Lineage: Eukaryota; Viridiplantae; Streptophyta; Magnoliopsida; Solanales; Solanaceae. The record is from RNAcentral.